This 74-nucleotide transfer RNA is filed under the name Chirocentrus dorab (Dorab wolf-herring). RNAcentral describes it as "tRNA-Lys". It matches the Rfam family "tRNA". Rfam says of the family: Transfer RNA (tRNA) molecules are approximately 80 nucleotides in length. Their secondary structure includes four short double-helical elements and three loops (D, anti-codon, and T loops). Lineage: Eukaryota; Metazoa; Chordata; Actinopteri; Clupeiformes; Chirocentridae. The record is from RNAcentral.
GGCUAGAAAGCUAUGAAGGAAACAGCAUCAGCCUUUUAAGCUGAAGGAAGGUGGCUACCGACCACCUCUAGCCA